RNAcentral lists this long non-coding RNA (3567 nucleotides) under Polistes fuscatus (common paper wasp). RNAcentral's name for it is "uncharacterized LOC122515430". The record is from RNAcentral. Lineage: Eukaryota; Metazoa; Arthropoda; Insecta; Hymenoptera; Vespidae.
UGAGGUUUGUUUCCUCAAACGACACUUCAUCGCAACUAAAUUUACUUACGCGAAAUAAUCUGUUAACGUAGCGUUAAUAAAUCAGUCGUCCAAAUUACAAUCGUAAAACAUUAAAGUCCCGAUGCAGCGAUUAAAAUGUUAAACGCGGUCUAGGCCAUCGUUUUAUUGCGAACGAGAAGUUCAACGAGGAACGUGCGAAUAAUUGCAAACCUUCGUGUUAUUUAGCGAACAGUGAAAGGGGCAGCAUUCGUCGGACCCGCAUAAUUUUCCAUACAUUACAAAAAUAUUAUCAUGAAAUUCUAUUUCAAAAUAAUACUUUUCUUAUUUCGGAAGAAUGUAAUUAGUCACAUUUACGCAUUUUGUAAGAGUUUACCUCGGUGAGAGAUUUCUCAAAGUUACGUUUAAUUCAUUGUACGAUUAUCGGGCCAAUUUCAUGAACAUAAUCAUCCUAAUUUUGUUGUUCGUUAUUGCGAAAGAGAAUCUUUCGCGUGGCAUUGACCGUGAAUAUGACAAUUCGCAGAGAUUGCGAUGAUUAAUCAUAGAAAGUAAGUUCGUUCUAUAACGCGAGUAAAAAACAAAACAAAAGAAAAAGAAAAAAAAAAAGAAAAUUGAUCGAGUCCUCUCGUAAUUGGCUCAAGUGUAACGACGUUAUUAAAAAGAAGCCCGAUAGAGACUUCUGUUGAAAACUAUACUUUUCUUUUUGCACGUGUGCGUGUAUAGAAGUUUACUACGUUCAGGUCCGUUCACUGACUCGCCAACGGAUUUGACCCUUUUUUCUUCACGAGCACACGGUCCACUCGCCUUUCUCCGGCCAAUUAAUUUCUCUCCGGAACAUUAUAGUACUAUAUCCGUAUGUGCUUGUGUGUGUGUGUGUGUGUUGUGUGUAUGCAAGAAAAAAAACAUCUACUCCACGCUUCAAAGAUCGUGCGUCACGAAAUUCGAGAACACCGUUUAGCUCUUGGAUCCAUCAUCAAAUUCUUUUGUAAUAGGGGCUACUUCGUACUCGUUUCCUAGAUCGUUUUAAUUUUUCUUCGUCGUCAUCAAAGAUAAAUUAUUUCUUUAAAUAUUCGUACAAAUUAGACGCGAUUUAUUUAAUCAUCAUUAUCGAGACAUCUCGCAUGAUUCACGUUUCUCCUACUCAAAUCAAUUCGAAUGAUUUAUGAGACAAUGUCCGUUUAUAGCGUUUUUAGAUUUGUAGGUUAAAAUAGAUUUAAAAAAAAGAAAAAGAAACAUCGAGAGGAGAAAUGUUAGAGAAAAGUAUCGAGAAAGGAGACUCUAUUGCUUUUGCGAGAUACGUCGUUCGAUCAGGUUUUGUCUAUAAUAUACCGGGUGAUUGUAUUAUCGCGUUAGUUUUAUUAUCAUUUCUAUUAAUUUUGUUGCCGAGAGGACUAGACGUUUACUUUAAUAAAGAAAUGGUUCUUACGAAAGACAAAGACAGGGAAAAGAAAGAAAAAAAAGUAAAAGAUAGAUAAUCACUUUCGACCACGCGAUUACUAACGGAGAAAGAAAACGGUUCUUUGACUAUCUUACUCUCCGUUAUACUCUUAUAUUUCGUAAUACUCUUCUCGUUCCAGACUUUAAUUCUCCGUCUGGGAGAAUACAUUUUGGAAUAAUUUCGUGCCAGUUUUGAGUAUAUCAAUGUCAGGGCUACGACUCGUCUGGAUUCUUCUUUUUCUUUUCCUUUUUUCCAAAAUCCUAUUGAAAUUCGAGAUUGUUUUAUAGGACACACCGUAGUUCGGUCAUAACUUUUGUCCGAAACUUUCUCGCGGAUAGAAACGAGAUUGGUCGGAUUUGUAAUAGUAGAAAAAAAAUAAAAUAUUUUGUAUAAAUGAAACGUUUUUUGAAGUCUUGUAAAAUGAAUAGAAUAGACAAUGUUUAGAGUCAGUUAAACAACGAUUAUUCGUUUGUUCCCGAUAUUCCUUGCUUCUUCUAGUGUUUGACGAACGUCGGCUGAUUUCUAUUUGAUAGCCUACUCAUAACGAAAAAAAAUAAUAAAGGCAUUCGAGCCAAGAAAAAUAGACUAAACUUACGAUGAUUGAGAUAUCAGCUAAUUUUACCGUCCACUAUUUAUGCACAGGAAAUUGAUGGUAAUUUAAUCGAAUUUAUCCGAGUAAAAGAAGGUAUAGUCGAACUUGGAUAGAAUAAUGAAAUGCACUCGCGUGAGUUUGUUUUUACGCGAAGUGAAAUCAGGAAGGAUUCGUUUCCGGACAAAGACAAGAUAGCAGUCGAUGCUACGUACAGACGAAGAUUAAACCUUGAAAAGUAGAGAUUUAUUUACGCCCGCGUUCUCAGUGAAACGAGAAAGGCUGAUAGAGUAUGUUGUGCAGUUGGUCUGUGCGGUAUAAUCUUUAAGAAUUGCCUGACUUUCAUCGCGAACCCAGUCGGGCGUCCACUUUCAAUGCGAGUGUCCUUUCAUAUGUAAAUCAGAGCAACGUUGCAUUCCAACUUCGACGUUAUUUAUCAAUUAUUCUAACAAACUCGUUCGUUUUUCUUGACAUACUCUAAACAUAUACCUACGACAAAUUAUUCCAAGUUAUUUUUUCCUACGAAUCGCUAAUUUCUCGUUUGUUUUUUUUACGAAAACACUGAAUUACGUUUGUAAGAUGCAACAUUGAUAAUUUGAGUUUGCCGACCCUCUUAAUUCGUGGAUCACGUAACUAGGUAAACGACUAUGUUGGUGCCUACUUUUCUGCGGAGAGGUCAUCAUCAACGAGUGGUUACGGUUGAUCCACUUUACCGUUUCAUUCCUCAUCUCGUUAGAGUCUAGUGUCAAGAGAUGAUCGUCGAUGAUAUCGAGAAGAAAUCUCUCUCGUCGACAUUUUCCAAAUCUUUAUCGCCAAGCUUUGUUUCAUUCGUCGACGCUAUUUCGCACAUAUCUCACGUUCGAAAAGAAAUACAGGUCGCUACGACGAAUGAUGGAAAAGACAAUAAACAUAAUUCAAUGUCUUCGCGUAUGCGUCCCCGUGCACGUAUAAAAACCCAUACAAGAUUAAAGGAUGACACGGUUUCCAUGAAUCCGAGGUUAGUGAACCUACAACUAGAUGCACCAUACAACUCGUUCAAACCUAAAUUGCAUAUACGUCUGACUCACGUUAAUCAUAUUCUUGUUUAUCGAUCGAUCGAUAAACGAGAAUCGCGAACAACUAUUUCAACACAUUCGAUCGUUGCCUUGAAAAGCGAAAAUCGAUAGUUUGCCAUUCCACUCGUGUCUUCUUCGAUUCGAUCACUUGGAACACACUUUGAUUCAACGGUUAACUACGAAACGAGAAUAAUAAAUCUACCUAACGAAGAAUAAACAUAAUAAUAGGAAGUAUUCCUUAUUAAGUUUACCGUUAAUCGGAUCCUAUUGUCUUAUUCAUUAUACUCAACGAUAUUCAACCGUUCAAAUUGUCCUGUUGAUAUCUAAAUGUGUCGUGAGACAUCGGAGAUAUGUAUACGCGUUAAUUACAGAAACUCUAAUUAAAUGUUGAAAAUGAAUAGACCCGUAGACGAAUCCAUUGUUAAAUGAGACGUUCGAAUCGUUAGGAAGACAAAAACAACCGACAACGACACAAAAAAUAUACAAAA